This 37-nucleotide ribosomal RNA is filed under the name Nannospalax galili (Upper Galilee mountains blind mole rat). The record is from RNAcentral. Lineage: Eukaryota; Metazoa; Chordata; Mammalia; Rodentia; Spalacidae.
GAAUGCACCUGAUCUCGUCUGAUCUUGGAAGUUAAAC